Molecule: non-coding RNA, 22 nt
Filed under: Rattus norvegicus (Norway rat)
Lineage: Eukaryota; Metazoa; Chordata; Mammalia; Rodentia; Muridae
Source: RNAcentral
AGACUGAAACACAAGGGCACAC